RNAcentral lists this ribosomal RNA (450 nucleotides) under uncultured bacterium. RNAcentral describes it as "partial 16S ribosomal RNA". It matches the Rfam family "Bacterial small subunit ribosomal RNA", at positions 354 to 796 of the family's 1533-position model. The record is from RNAcentral.
GUGGGGAAUAUUGGACAAUGGGCGAAAGCCUGAUCCAGCCAUGCCGCGUGUGUGAAGAAGGUCUUCGGAUUGUAAAGCACUUUAAGUUGGGAGGAAGGGCAGUAAGUUAAUACCUUGCUGUUUUGACGUUACCGACAGAAUAAGCACCGGCUAACUUCGUGCCAGCAGCCGCGGUAAUACGAAGGGUGCAAGCGUUAAUCGGAAUUACUGGGCGUAAAGCGCGCGUAGGUGGUUCGUUAAGUUGGAUGUGAAAGCCCCGGGCUCAACCUGGGAACUGCAUCCAAAACUGGCGAGCUAGAGUACGGUAGAGGGUGGUGGAAUUUCCUGUGUAGCGGUGAAAUGCGUAGAUAUAGGAAGGAACACCAGUGGCGAAGGCGACCACCUGGACUGAUACUGACACUGAGGUGCGAAAGCGUGGGGAGCAAACAGGAUUAGAUACCCGGGUAGUCC